GGAUUAGAAACCCUGGUAGUCCACGCCCUAAACGAUGUCAACUAGCUGUUGGGGGCUUCGGCUCUUGGUAGCGCAGCUAACGCGUGAAGUUGACCGCCUGGGGAGUACGGUCGCAAGAUUAAAACUCAAAGGAAUUGACGGGGACCCGCACAAGCGGUGGAUGAUGUGGAUUAAUUCGAUGCAACGCGAAAAACCUUACCUACCCUUGACAUGUCUGGAAUGCCGAAGAGAUUUGGCAGUGCUCGCAAGAGAACCGGAACACAGGUGCUGCAUGGCUGUCGUCAGCUCGUGUCGUGAGAUGUUGGGUUAAGUCCCGCAACGAGCGCAACCCUUGUCAUUAGUUGCUACGAAAGGGCACUCUAAUGAGACUGCCGGUGACAAACCGGAGGAAGG
This 393-nucleotide ribosomal RNA is filed under the name uncultured bacterium. RNAcentral's name for it is "bacterial SSU rRNA". It matches the Rfam family "Bacterial small subunit ribosomal RNA", at positions 775 to 1173 of the family's 1533-position model. The record is from RNAcentral.